Molecule: ribosomal RNA, 253 nt
Filed under: uncultured bacterium
Lineage: Bacteria
Description: partial 16S ribosomal RNA
Rfam family: Bacterial small subunit ribosomal RNA
Source: RNAcentral
UACGUAGGGUGCGAGCGUUGUCCGGAAUCAUUGGGCGUAAAGAGCUUGUAGGCGGUUUGUCGCGUCUGCCGUGAAAAUUCGAGGCUCAACCUCGAACUUGCGGUGGGUACGGGCAGACUAGAGUGUGGUAGGGGAGACUGGAAUUCCUGGUGUAGCGGUGAAAUGCGCAGAUAUCAGGAGGAACACCGAUGGCGAAGGCAGGUCUCUGGGCCACUACUGACGCUGAGAAGCGAAAGCAUGGGGAGCGAACAGG